This is a non-coding RNA of Pelobates cultripes (western spadefoot toad), 315 nucleotides long. Lineage: Eukaryota; Metazoa; Chordata; Amphibia; Anura; Pelobatidae. The record is from the annotation of a GenBank genome assembly.
UAUUAUUUUAGUUACCCAAUCAAAGAAAUCAAUAAGAUUAGUUUGGCAUGAUCUCCCUGAAGUAAACUCAUGUUGUCUCUGAUCUUGAAAUCCAUGUGAUUUUAGAUGUUCAACAAUCCUAUCCUUUAACAUGGUUUCCAUUACUUUCCACACUACUGAAGUAAGGCUUACUGGCCUAUAGUUGCCCUACUCCUCCCUACUACCUUUCUUGUGAAUGGGCACAACAUUCGCUAACUUCCAAUCUUCUGGGACUACACCUGUUAACAAUGAUUGGUUAAAUAAAUCUGUUAGUGGUUUUGCUAGUACACCACUAAG